UACGAAAUAACGUUUAAUUUGGAGGUUUUUUAGUUUGGAAUGUUGAUUUUGAAUAUUUUCUUGAUUGAGUUCAGUUUAAAAAGUCGCUUUUCGUCUGUUUUUCGCGCUUAUUGCUUGCUAAUUCUUAGGCUUAGGAAAACUCAAAUAUCUGUUUAAACUAAAACUUACAACAAAGUCCGGUAGCAUGGUAGCGCCCCCGCUAACUCCGCCCAAAGGCGUGGCUUAUUGCUACAACAYUUUCUAUCGAUGUGCACACUUGAUUUCAAACYUUCUGAACAAUUUUCUUCGCGGUUUCAUUAGAAAAAAAAUGCUGGUCAAUCAUUACGAAACAUGUUGUUGUUGUUGUCGCUGUAAUUAUCGGUAUUUCCAGUAUUUGGAAGCCCGUCCAGGCUAAAUCGAGCCUCAAAAUGACAACAAAACCCGAUUGGCAGCUCUCAUUGUACAGGGUGUGGUGGGGCAGGCCGCCAUCGCCUAAUAAAACUUUGGCCGUCGAACAUUCAAUUGUUCGCCAGUGGACCAAGUGGUGCAAUUACGAAGAUCAUGGACGACGAUAACUCGGACUGGUUCUCAGCUGCCGACGAUGCUGCACCGGAACCCGCAG
Long non-coding RNA from Dendroctonus ponderosae (mountain pine beetle), 601 nucleotides. RefSeq lists it as uncharacterized. The transcript has 2 exons. The record is from RefSeq and is a predicted model, not a curated record. Lineage: Eukaryota; Metazoa; Arthropoda; Insecta; Coleoptera; Curculionidae.